GUAAAAGAAUUAAUGCUUGUCUGCCGGUAUCUGUUAAAGCUGUAACGGAAAUGCUGAAUGCAGUGAUCCAGGAGCUUGGAGAGAAUGGUGAAGAGGGAAGUCUUGCCUCCGGAAAUAUCUCACCAGCUGCACACAUGGAAGUAAAAUAUUCAAUUCCAUCACCUAAGAAGUUCUCUUUCUCGCCAACAAAUACCUACCAGUUUUCUCCUAAGACUGACUCUCAGUGGGCAGAAGAUCACAAGUCCUUACUUAAAAAGCUGUGUCAGCACGUGGAAGCUUUAACGGUAAGCAACUUUAGUCACUAUAUUCGGUGCAGAAUGGUUGAUCUUUUUGUUCUG
Phasianus colchicus (ring-necked pheasant) is the source of this 338-nucleotide non-coding RNA. Lineage: Eukaryota; Metazoa; Chordata; Aves; Galliformes; Phasianidae. The record is from RefSeq and is a predicted model, not a curated record.